GACCUUGUAUUGAAAUCUUCUGCAUUUCCUGUGCCAACUAUUACCCAUUAAGAUGUUAUAUCUCAUACGGCUGAAUGUUGCAUGAUGUGUUGAUGUGUGGCAGGUGGAGGAAAAUUGUCAGAGCAGGCAAUGGUGUUUUGUUGAUGGAGUGGAGUUUUUGCAGCCAACAGUGAUGUGUUCAAUGGUGCAGUGAAGUGAGGCUGAAAUGAAACCAGUAACUACUAUUAUAUUUUCCCAUGGAUUUUCCUUGAUACUUCAACAAUGGAACUGUUAACUGCUGCCAUGUUUCACUAAGGAUUUCCUUAAUUCUUUGAUCAUGGAACUGUGAACCAAUGCUAUCGUUUACUUUGGACACUCCUUAAUUAUUCAAUGAACUGGUAAAUACUGCUAUACUUUACUAAGGAUUUCCUUAAUUCUUUGAUCAUGGAACUGUGAACCAAUACUAUCUUUUAUUUUGGACACUCCUUAUUUGGUCAAUGAACUGGUAACUGCUGCUAUGUUUUACCAAGAAUCUCUUUGAUUCUUUAACCAUGGAACUGUGGACCAAUACUAUCUUUUACUUUGGACACUUUGAUGAACUGGUAACUACUAAUAUCCUUGAUUGAGGAUAUUCCUCAAUUCUCUCUCUCUCUGAAGACAAUAGUUAGCUUAUAUGGAAAUCUUCACUCAAUAAUAUAUGCUCCACACGUUCAGCUAUUCUAGAAAAUUGCUGUAAGAGACUUUACGCCUUACUUCAUAAUCUUGUAUUUACUAUAACUACUCUACACUAUAUUUAAAUUAUAGAUUAAAUGUUCUGAAGUGAUAUCACAUGGUUUACUUGUUCAUUCUCUCUUUCGAAUAUAUAUCUACCCACUCAACUUCUAGUCAUCAUUAAUAGUCAGCCGUUGUUCAAGCCAGACUUUUAGGUAUAAUCCAAACUGAACACUUAUAGUUCACACCUAUUACAUUACUCCAUUAGAUGAAAACUUUUUGUAUGUAUAUAUAUGGAUAAUUAUGGCCAACUUUUAGUUACAUGUGAACACUUCUAGGCUUCAUCACUACUUCAGUUCUCAACUAAAUUAAAUGCAACUUUUUUAUCAAUGGUGGUCCAGUUUUCAGCUACAUUUUGAGGUAAAAUAAUUGGAAUUUGGUUCAGUCAAAAAAGAAAAAAAAUUUAAAAAUUCAAUCAAAAUAUCAAAAUAUGUGAGAUCAAAAAUGGGAGAGUAAAGCAAAAAAUUGACUUUGAAUCAAAAUAUCUCAGCUAUUAUAAAGGAAAAGUAUAGAUUAAUGGGGUUUAAAAGAAUGUGCUCAUUAAGAAGAAUCUUUUAGUGAAAACCUUGUUUAAGAGUAUUUACUAUGAAAAAGUUGUGUGGCUUUGUGACUUAAAAAUAAUCUCUCAAAUUGACUUCAGAUCAAAAUAUUUCAGCUAUUGUAAGAGAAAACUAUACAAUAAUUGUGUUCAAAUGAAAGAGCCCUAUGAAAUGUAUCUUCUGGUGGAAACCUUGUAAAAAAAUUUUUAGCUACAAUAAAAGUGGUGUGGUUUUAAGUGAUGACAAAGGUGAUCAACAAAUAAUAUUUUUUUCAUUUUAAGAUAUUUUUAACACUAUAAAAGACAGAUUUAGCAUUAUAAACGAGGUCUCUGACAUUAGGGGGUCAGUCACUUAGCUUAAUGGUAGAUAGCACUCAGCUGAAGUUUGAGUACAGGGUUUGAUUCUCUGUAGCAGCUUGCUAGGUACUUUUUUCCUCAUUUUCUAAGGGUAAUUAAUUAAUUUUCUAAGUUGUUUUUACUGUUAUUUGAGAUUUACUUCUGAUGAAGGAAGCUCUCUGAGAAGGUGCA
Molecule: long non-coding RNA, 1816 nt
Filed under: Octopus sinensis (East Asian common octopus)
Lineage: Eukaryota; Metazoa; Mollusca; Cephalopoda; Octopoda; Octopodidae
Description: uncharacterized LOC118761291
Source: RNAcentral